UCUCUGUUGGUCUAGUGGUUAUGAUUUCCGCUUGUCAUCACGUGAGAAGCGCGGGAGACCGGGGUUCGAUUCCCCGACAGAGAG
RNAcentral lists this transfer RNA (84 nucleotides) under Glutinoglossum americanum. Its description in RNAcentral is "tRNA-Asp". It matches the Rfam family "tRNA". Rfam says of the family: Transfer RNA (tRNA) molecules are approximately 80 nucleotides in length. Their secondary structure includes four short double-helical elements and three loops (D, anti-codon, and T loops). The record is from RNAcentral. Lineage: Eukaryota; Fungi; Ascomycota; Geoglossomycetes; Geoglossales; Geoglossaceae.